RNAcentral lists this ribosomal RNA (466 nucleotides) under uncultured ammonia-oxidizing beta proteobacterium. RNAcentral describes it as "bacterial SSU rRNA". It matches the Rfam family "Bacterial small subunit ribosomal RNA", at positions 198 to 645 of the family's 1533-position model. Lineage: Bacteria; Pseudomonadati; Pseudomonadota; Betaproteobacteria. The record is from RNAcentral.
GGAGGAAAGCAGGGGAUCGUAAGACCUUGCGCUUUUGGAGUGGCCGAUGCCUGAUUAGCUAGUUGGUGGGGUAAGAGCCUACCAAGGCGACGAUCAGUAGUUGGUCUGAGAGGACGACCAGCCACACUGGGACUGGGACACGGCCCAGACUCCUACGGGAGGCAGCAGUGGGGAAUUUUGGACAAUGGGCGAAAGCCUGAUCCAGCAAUGCCGCGUGAGUGAAGAAGGCCUUCGGGUUGUAAAGCUCUUUCAGUCGAGAAGAAAAGGUUGCGACUAAUAAUCGCAACUUAUGACGGUAUCGACAGAAGAAGCACCGGCUAACUACGUGCCAGCAGCCGCGGUAAUACGUAGGGUGCGAGCGUUAAUCGGAAUUACUGGGCGUAAAGGGUGCGCAGGCGGCUCUGUAAGCCAGAUGUGAAAUCCCCGGGCUUAACCUGGGAAUUGCGUUUGAAACUACAAGGCUAGA